Molecule: ribosomal RNA, 531 nt
Filed under: uncultured bacterium
Lineage: Bacteria
Description: partial 16S ribosomal RNA
Rfam family: Bacterial small subunit ribosomal RNA
Source: RNAcentral
UGGGGAAUAUUGCACAAUGGGCGAAAGCCUGAUGCAGCGACGCCGCGUGCGGGAUGAAGGCCUUCGGGUUGUAAACCGCUUUUAAUUGGGAGCAAGCGAGAGUGAGUGUACCUUUUGAAUAAGCACCGGCUAACUACGUGCCAGCAGCUGCGGUAAUACGUAGGGUGCAAGCGUUAUCCGGAAUUAUUGGGCGUAAAUAGCUCGUAGGCGGUUUGUCACGCCUGGUGUGAAAGUCCAUCGCUUAACGGUGGAUCUGCGCCGGGUACGGGCAGGCUAGAGUGCAGUAGGGGAGAUUGGAAUUCCCGGUGUAACGGUGGAAUGUGUAGAUAUCGGGAAGAACACCAAUGGCGAAGGCAGAUCUCUGGGCUGUUACUGACGCUGAGGAGCGAAAAGCAUGGGGAGCGAACAGGAUUAGAUACCCUGGUAGUCCAUGCCGUAAAACGGUGGAUGCUGGAUGUGGGACCCUUCCACGGGUUCCGUGUCGGAGCUAACGCGUUAAGCAUCCCGCCUGGGGAGUACGGCCGCAAGGCU